This 978-nucleotide ribosomal RNA is filed under the name human gut metagenome. RNAcentral's name for it is "bacterial LSU rRNA". It matches the Rfam family "Bacterial large subunit ribosomal RNA", at positions 1946 to 2925 of the family's 2925-position model. The record is from RNAcentral.
CGGUCCUAAGGUAGCGAAAUUCCUUGUCGGGUAAGUUCCGACCUGCACGAAUGGCGUAACGAUCUCCACACUGUCUCGGCCAGAGACUCGGUGAAAUUGCAGUCGCGGUGAAAAUUCCGUGUACCCGCAGAAAGACGGAAAGACCCUGUGCACCUUUACUAUAGCUUGACAUUGGAUUUUGGGCCUGCAUGUGUAGGAUAGGUGGGAGGCUGUGAACCCUGUACGCCAGUAUGGGGGGAGCCAUCCUUGAAAUACCACCCUUGCAUGUUUAAGAUCCUAACUUCUUCCGGUUAUCCCGGAGAAAGACAGUGUCUGGCGGGUAGUUUGACUGGGGCGGUCGCCUCCUAAAGUGUAACGGAGGCAUGCAAAGGUUCCCUCAGCCUGAUCGGAAACCAGGCGCUGAGUGCAAACGCAUAAGGGAGCUUGACUGUAAGAGAGACAUCUCGAACAGGAACGAAAGUUGGCGUUAGUGAUCCGGUGGUCCCGAAUGGAAGGGCCAUCGCUCAUUGGAUAAAAGGUACGCCGGGGAUAACAGGCUGAUCGCAUCCAAGAGUUCACAUCGACGAUGCGGUUUGGCACCUCGAUGUCGGCUCAUCACAUCCUGGGGCUGAAGCAGGUCCCAAGGGUACGGCUGUUCGCCGUUUAAAGUGGUACGCGAGCUGGGUUUAAACGUCGUGAGACAGUUUGGUCCCUAUCUUCUGUGGGCGAAGGAGAAUUGAGAGGGCCUGUCCCUAGUACGAGAGGACCGGGAUGGACGCACCCCUGGUGAUCCUGUUGUCGCGCCAGCGGCAUAGCAGGGUAGCUAUGUGCGGAAGGGAUAACCGCUGAAAGCAUCUAAGCGGGAAGCCUGCCUCAAGAUAAGUUCUCCCCUCGAAAGAGCUGAAGGGCCCGGGUAGACUACCCGGUCGAUAGGCUGGAGGUGUAAGCGCGGCGACGUGCUCAGCUGACCAGUACUAAUAGCCCGAGCGGCUUAUUUUU